AUUUUUAGUCUGGCCUGCCCACUGAAAUUGAUUAAAGGGCCGCGGUAUUUGGACCGUGCUAAGGUAGCAUAAUCAGUAGUCUUUUAAUUAGAGACUAGAAUGAAUGGUCGGAUGAAGUAUAGUUUGUCUGCGACUAUAGGUUUUGAAUUUUACCUUUAAGUGAAAAGGCUUAGAUUAGGUAGGGGGACGAUAAGACCCUAUGAAGUUUUAUACUAUCUGAAUUUGGUGUUUAAUAUUUAAGUGAUUAACUUUAAGUUUGAGAGGUAUUUUGUUGGGGCGACAGGAAUAUAUUUUUAACUGUUUUUUGGAGAAAAAUAAAUGAUUUUUAGAAUAUUGAUCUUGUAUUAUGGAUUAUAAGAUUAAAAUUACUCUAGGGAUAACAGCGUAAUUCUUUUUGAGAGUUCUUAUCGACAAAAGUAUUUGCGACCUCGAUGUUGAAUUAAGAUUUCACUAAGGUGUAGGAGCUUUAGUUGUAGGUCUGUUC
RNAcentral lists this ribosomal RNA (484 nucleotides) under Typhlatya miravetensis. Its description in RNAcentral is "partial 16S ribosomal RNA". It matches the Rfam family "Bacterial large subunit ribosomal RNA", at positions 1845 to 2582 of the family's 2925-position model. The record is from RNAcentral. Lineage: Eukaryota; Metazoa; Arthropoda; Malacostraca; Decapoda; Atyidae.